Molecule: ribosomal RNA, 253 nt
Filed under: uncultured bacterium
Lineage: Bacteria
Description: partial 16S ribosomal RNA
Rfam family: Bacterial small subunit ribosomal RNA
Source: RNAcentral
UACGAAGGUGGCAAGCGUUACUCGGAAUUACUGGGCGUAAAGCGUGCGUAGGCGGUUUGUUAAGUCUGCUGUGAAAGCCCCGGGCUCAACCUGGGAACGGCAGUGGAUACUGGCAAGCUAGAGUGUGGAAGAGGAUGGUGGAAUUCCCGGUGUAGCGGUGAAAUGCGUAGAGAUCGGGAGGAACAUCAGUGGCGAAGGCGGCCAUCUGGGCCAAAACUGACGCUGAGGCACGAAAGCGUGGGGAGCAAACAGG